RNAcentral lists this ribosomal RNA (216 nucleotides) under Glomeromycotina sp. Its description in RNAcentral is "partial small subunit ribosomal RNA". The stretch from base 40 to 216 matches the Rfam family "Eukaryotic small subunit ribosomal RNA", at positions 686 to 864 of the family's 1831-position model. The record is from RNAcentral. Lineage: Eukaryota; Fungi; Glomeromycota.
GGGUCAGUAGGUUGGUCGUGCCACCGGUACGUACUGGUCUCACUGAUUCCUCAUUCCUGAAGAACCGUAAUGCCAUUAAUUUGGUGUUGCGGGGAAACAGGACUGUUACUUUGAAAAAAUUAGAGUGUUUAAAGCAAGCUAACGCUUGGAUACAUUAGCAUGGAAUAAUGAAAUAGGACGAUCGAUCCUAUUUUGUUGGUUUCUAGGAUUGACGUA